UGAGUAGCACAGAUGAUCGCGGAGACAGGAGCCGAAAGGCUGUCAACGAGGAAAGUCCGGGCUUCAUAGGGCAGGAUGCCGGAUAACGUCCGGUGGAGGCGACUCCAAGGAAAGUGCAACAGAAAUGUACCGCCAAUAUUUAUGUGGGAUUAUUUUCUGCAUGAAUACUGGUAAGGGUGGAAGGGCAGUUUAAGAGACUACCGCGCUUCUGGUAACAGAGGCGGCAUAUGUAAACCCCAUUCGAAGAAAGACCGAACAAAAGCGAUACGGCUGCCCGUCGUGCUUUAGGUGGGUCGAUUGAGCCUGUUGGCAACAGCAGGACUAGAUAGAUGAUCAUCAGAUACAUAACCCGGCUUAUAGUGCUGCUCAAUAU
RNAcentral lists this RNase P RNA (373 nucleotides) under Eubacteriales bacterium. RNAcentral describes it as "RNase P RNA component class A". It matches the Rfam family "Bacterial RNase P class A". Rfam says of the family: Ribonuclease P (RNase P) is a ubiquitous endoribonuclease, found in archaea, bacteria and eukarya as well as chloroplasts and mitochondria. Its best characterised activity is the generation of mature 5'-ends of tRNAs by cleaving the 5'-leader elements of precursor-tRNAs. Lineage: Bacteria; Bacillati; Bacillota; Clostridia; Eubacteriales. The record is from RNAcentral.